CCUACGUGAGUCAGCAGUGAGGAAUAUUGGGCAAUGGAGGCAACUCUGACCCAGCCAUGCCGCGUGAGUGAAGAAGGUUUUCGGAUUGUAAUGCUCUUUCGGAUGUGACGAUGAUGACGGUAUCAUCUAAAGAAGCCCCGGCUAACUUCGUGCCAGCAGCCGCGGUAAUACGACGGGGGCACGCGUUGUUGGGAAGUACUGGGCGUAAAGGGAGUGUAGGCGGUUUAGUAAGAUAGUGGUGAAAUCCCAGAGCUUAACUUUGGAAUUGCCAUUAUAACUAUUAGACUAUGAUUACAGGGAGGAUAGUAGGAUACCCAGUGUAGAGGUGGAAUUGGUGAGUAUUGGGUAGGACACGAGUGGGGAAGGCGACUAUCUGGCUGUACAUUGACGCUGGGGCUCGAAAGCAUGGGGAUCAAACAGGAUGAGAUACCCUGGUAGUC
Molecule: ribosomal RNA, 440 nt
Filed under: uncultured bacterium
Lineage: Bacteria
Description: partial 16S ribosomal RNA
Rfam family: Bacterial small subunit ribosomal RNA
Source: RNAcentral